RNAcentral lists this ribosomal RNA (253 nucleotides) under uncultured bacterium. RNAcentral describes it as "partial 16S ribosomal RNA". It matches the Rfam family "Bacterial small subunit ribosomal RNA", at positions 524 to 776 of the family's 1533-position model. The record is from RNAcentral.
UACAGAGGGGGCAAGCGUUAUUCGGAAUUAUUGGGCGUAAAGCGCACGUAGGCGGCAUUGCAAGUCGGAUGUGAAAUCCCUCGGCUUAACCAAGGAAGUGCAUCCGAAACUGCAGUGCUUGAGUACUUAAGAGGAUCGCGGAAUUCCCGGUGUAGAGGUGAAAUUCGUAGAUAUCGGGAGGAACACCAGUGGCGAAAGCGCUCUGCUAGGCCGCAACUGACACUGAGGGACGAAAGCUAGGGGAGCGAAUGGG